Salvelinus fontinalis (brook trout) is the source of this 1356-nucleotide long non-coding RNA. RefSeq lists it as uncharacterized. The record is from RefSeq and is a predicted model, not a curated record. The transcript has 2 exons. Lineage: Eukaryota; Metazoa; Chordata; Actinopteri; Salmoniformes; Salmonidae.
GGGAACUCUGUGGUGCUCCGGGGUGAAGUUUCUCCCAGGUGCAGAUCUAGGAUCAGCUUCCCCUCUCACAACCCUAAUUAGUAAGGAACAUGCAAAACUGACCCAAAAUCAGCAUCUAGGGGCAUCUUCACCGUACACCAGUUGGAGGUGGUGGGGGAGGGGGAUAUGUGGUGGUGGGGGGUAUUCUAUGGUGGUAUGCUAUUUUCCGGGUGUGUUUUGAUCAACCUUUGGUUAGAGCACUGUCUGCUUUAGGUUUCUUGAAACCUACUAAACCCUGAUGCAUGCUGAAAUAACAACCCUGACAAUGCUGAGUAGGCGAUGAAGAAAAGGAAUGACUCUACACCCACACCUUUCUAUUCUUGGUUUUGUGAAAAGUGAUCACUAAAGAAGAACCUUUGAAACCUCUGCUGAGAAGAGCGAUCUCUUCUGUUGAUUGUCCAGCAACUUUGCUGUUAAUAUGGAAAAUAUAUGUUGCUUUUUGUCCUCUCCCCUCUUCUUUUCUUCAUCCUUUUUUGAAGGAUGGGAAUUAAAGGCUAUUGCUCAACUCUGCCUGUGAAUAGCACGCUGCAUUACACCAAACACAAGUGCCUAUGUGAAUCUUUAGUCCCCGCCCACUUCGCUUUCUAUCUGCUGUCUUACUGGUGGCGUCUAUCCUUUGAUUAGAGCAGGAAUGAUUCAUUCUGGAUUCUGAGACUCUGAUAGUCACUAAGGAAUGUUUGAAGAUAAUACAUCAAUGCUUAUUAUAGAGUAUGACGUGUGGGGUUUGCAAAAACAGUUCCCGAAAAAAGUAAGGUUGGGAACCACUGGUUUAGAAGAAAUGGAUGACCAUUGCAAUACCAAUACAGUAAGGAAGUGUUUAAAUAGCUAUUAUGGGUGAAGGGAUAGGGAAGGGUUGUGUUGUUUUUCAUUGUUUUAAAAUGUGAAACUGUGAUUUAAAGCCAAGACAAGUGAUUUGCAUGCAAAGGCCCCCUCUACCCAAGUCUUGGUCUGUGUGGCCACUGUCCAUUGUGAGCCAGUCCCAGACACUGAGUAAUGUAACAAAUGCCAAUCAGUAACAUCCGAAUAGCCUAAUGAUGGCAUUCUGAAUGCUGAGGAAACCAUAUAUCUCACUCCUGUCCUGACUCUGACGAUCAUUGGGGCUUUUGUCACUUUAUAAGUAUGUAACCAAUGCACACUGACAAUGAAUGGGCUUCUUUUCAUAUGGGACUGGAGCUCGGUUGUUAGAAUGGCUAAAGUGGAAUAUGUGUAUGACAACCCGUAGUGAUUUUUGUAGAGAGAUUGAAAUGUUUUGUUUAAACAUGACGUUUUUGGGCUUUUAAACUCUUGACUAUUAAAAGCCAGUUUGUCUAAAACCAA